AUUGAACGCUGGCGGCAGGCCUAACACAUGCAAGUCGAGCGGAGCGGCGGACGGGUGAGUAAUGCCUAGGUAUCUGCCUGGCAGUGGGGGAUAACGUCCGGAAACGGGCGCUAAUACCGCAUAUUAUCAGCUGAGCCUAGGUCGGAUUAGUUAGUUGGUGGGGUAAAGGCCUACCAAGGCGACGAUCCGUAACUGGUCUGAGAGGAGGAUCAGUCACACUGGAACUGAGACACGGUCCAGACUCCUACGGGAGGCAGCAGGGGGGAAUAUUGGACAAUGGGCGAAAGCCUGAUCCAGCCAUGCCGCGUGUGUGAAGAAGGUCUUAGGGUUGUAAAGCACUUUCAGUUGGGAGGCGUUACCGACAGAAUAAGCACCGGCUAACUUCGUGCCAGCAGCCGCGGUAAUUC
RNAcentral lists this ribosomal RNA (407 nucleotides) under uncultured bacterium. RNAcentral's name for it is "partial 16S ribosomal RNA". It matches the Rfam family "Bacterial small subunit ribosomal RNA", at positions 30 to 526 of the family's 1533-position model. The record is from RNAcentral.